Molecule: long non-coding RNA, 493 nt
Organism: Trichosurus vulpecula (common brushtail)
Lineage: Eukaryota; Metazoa; Chordata; Mammalia; Diprotodontia; Phalangeridae
Exons: 2
Source: RefSeq, a predicted model, not a curated record
UGCAGGUUACACCCGGAAGUUGCUCUUCGAUGAAACAUAGGACCCAGAGCAUGCAGGAGGUCCUGAACGUGUCAAAGAUGAAGCGCCCCACCUCUGCUCUCCUCAGCUGACAUAAUUUGUUGUUUGCAUCCCAAACUGGACUCCCUGUGUCCUUGGGAGUCAAGACAGGCACCAGACCGUCUGCACUAGGCUUGUGCAGCUGGGACCCCAUACAGAUAAGGAAACCAUUAUAUCUUCAUGGUCUAGCAAUUCCCAAGGGAAAAGAAUUCUGCUUUUGCCAUCACCUUGCCCCUCCCUUUUGGGAGAAGUUUUGUCCUUUUCCCAUCUUUACUGCACCUUUCUCCUCCUAUGUCAUGCCCCUUUAGGUGGAGAUUCUGGGAUCUCCUUCCUUUGUCCUAUUGUCAUAAAUAUGCAAACUUCUAUAUGGAUUGUGAAUUCUUUGGGUUCCACAUGCAUGUUCAUUUCUCUUGUAAUAAACCUAAUUUUCAUGUAA